UUUGGCUGGCUAGGAACCCGAGCGGCGAUAUUUUGUCCAUGCAUCCUCCAUAGUGUUCACUCGAAAGGAAGGGACAUUAAUUUGAGUGGGACCAACACUUCCAAGUAUAUUUAGGACUGACAACCUUAAGACUGUUGGGCUUAAGUUCUGGCAUUUUGUUGGAAACGUCAGGCUGAUCUGGAAUCUUAUUUUUCAGUGGCAGGUCUGAGACCUGGGAUGUGGAAAGCAAUUAGAAAACCACGUGCCUCGGUCUUGUGCCUCAUUCUCACCAGUGAGCAACCACAGAUAUUCUCUCCUAUCUAGGGAUUCUGGAGGUUGCGAUCCCUUCACCCUUAUCUCCACCACCUCUAUGGAGAUGCAUCACUGGAGGAACUGCACAGAGCGAGAGAGGGCUGCAAUCCAAGGAGGACAAGCUGUGAGGAUGUUGAUCUUGGAAACGGGACAACAAGUGGGGAAGGACUUGUUGCAGAUGUAUUUCAGUGAAAGGGACAGCUCUAAAGCAACUGAUCAUCUGAUAAAGUGGCUGUCUGAUAACCAUGGUCUUCUGGUCAAGUCCCCAUAAGCUUAUGUCAUAAUAAAGUUGCUAGCCUUUAAAGUGCCAUAA
This is a long non-coding RNA of Rhineura floridana, 604 nucleotides long. RefSeq lists it as uncharacterized. Lineage: Eukaryota; Metazoa; Chordata; Lepidosauria; Squamata; Rhineuridae. The record is from RefSeq and is a predicted model, not a curated record. The transcript is spliced from 2 exons.